RNAcentral lists this small RNA (139 nucleotides) under Sinorhizobium meliloti 2011. RNAcentral's name for it is "putative ncRNA". Lineage: Bacteria; Pseudomonadati; Pseudomonadota; Alphaproteobacteria; Hyphomicrobiales; Rhizobiaceae. The record is from RNAcentral.
GCCCAUCCCAUGAAAAGCGAAUACGAUGGGCGCGUUGGGUCCGGGCGCUUUUAUGAGCGUCUGAUAGGGUGAGAUCGUCAUCGUGGUCUUCUCCGUCGGGCUGGACGCGAACUGCCGCGGCCCCGAAGUUGGUCAGUCU